This 1443-nucleotide ribosomal RNA is filed under the name uncultured organism. RNAcentral describes it as "SSU rRNA". It matches the Rfam family "Bacterial small subunit ribosomal RNA". The record is from RNAcentral.
CUCAGGAUGAACGCUAGCUACAGGCUUAACACAUGCAAGUCGAGGGGCAUCAGGAAGAAAGCUUGCUUUCUUUGCUGGCGACCGGCGCACGGGUGAGUAACACGUAUCCAACCUGCCCUUUACUCGGGGAUAGCCUUUCGAAAGAAAGAUUAAUACCCGAUGGCAUAAUGAUUCCGCAUGGUUUCAUUAUUAAAGGAUUCCGGUAAAGGAUGGGGAUGCGUUCCAUUAGGUUGUUGGUGAGGUAACGGCUCACCAAGCCUUCGAUGGAUAGGGGUUCUGAGAGGAAGGUCCCCCACAUUGGAACUGAGACACGGUCCAAACUCCUACGGGAGGCAGCAGUGAGGAAUAUUGGUCAAUGGGCGCUAGCCUGAACCAGCCAAGUAGCGUGAAGGAUGAAGGCUCUAUGGGUCGUAAACUUCUUUUAUAUAAGAAUAAAGUGCAGUAUGUAUACUGUUUUGUAUGUAUUAUAUGAAUAAGGAUCGGCUAACUCCGUGCCAGCAGCCGCGGUAAUACGGAGGAUCCGAGCGUUAUCCGGAUUUAUUGGGUUUAAAGGGAGCGUAGGUGGACUGGUAAGUCAGUUGUGAAAGUUUGCGGCUCAACCGUAAAAUUGCAGUUGAUACUGUCAGUCUUGAGUACAGUAGAGGUGGGCGGAAUUCGUGGUGUAGCGGUGAAAUGCUUAGAUAUCACGAAGAACUCCGAUUGCGAAGGCAGCUCACUGGACUGCAACUGACACUGAUGCUCGAAAGUGUGGGUAUCAAACAGGAUUAGAUACCCUGGUAGUCCACACAGUAAACGAUGAAUACUCGCUGUUUGCGAUAUACAGUAAGCGGCCAAGCGAAAGCAUUAAGUAUUCCACCUGGGGAGUACGCCGGCAACGGUGAAACUCAAAGGAAUUGACGGGGGCCCGCACAAGCGGAGGAACAUGUGGUUUAAUUCGAUGAUACGCGAGGAACCUUACCCGGGCUUAAAUUGCAGUGGAAUGAUGUGGAAACAUGUCAGUGAGCAAUCACCGCUGUGAAGGUGCUGCAUGGUUGUCGUCAGCUCGUGCCGUGAGGUGUCGGCUUAAGUGCCAUAACGAGCGCAACCCUUAUCUUUAGUUACUAACAGGUUAUGCUGAGGACUCUAGAGAGACUGCCGUCGUAAGAUGUGAGGAAGGUGGGGAUGACGUCAAAUCAGCACGGCCCUUACGUCCGGGGCUACACACGUGUUACAAUGGGGGGUACAGAAGGCAGCUAGCGGGUGACCGUAUGCUAAUCCCAAAAGCCUCUCUCAGUUCGGAUCGAAGUCUGCAACCCGACUUCGUGAAGCUGGAUUCGCUAGUAAUCGCGCAUCAGCCACGGCGCGGUGAAUACGUUCCCGGGCCUUGUACACACCGCCCGUCAAGCCAUGGGAGCCGGGGGUACCUGAAGUACGUAACCGCAAGGAUCGUCCUAGGGUAAAACU